Molecule: small nucleolar RNA, 111 nt
Organism: Capsicum annuum
Lineage: Eukaryota; Viridiplantae; Streptophyta; Magnoliopsida; Solanales; Solanaceae
Source: RefSeq, a predicted model, not a curated record
AGACUGUUGAUGAUGUGGACAGUCUUGAAAAAAAGCUUUGAACCGCUCCUACGCAUGAUAUAAAUUCUCAUUUUACUUUUAUUUGAAGCACACAAUCUCACUACAAAGUCU